GUGUCAGCCGCCGCGGUAAUACGGAGGGUGCGAGCGUUAAUCGGAAUUACUGGGCGUAAAGCGCGCGUAGGUGGCUUGUCACGCCGGUUGUGAAAGCCCCGGGCUCAACCUGGGAACUGCAUCCGGAACGGCCAGGCUAGAGUGCAGGAGAGGAAGGUAGAAUUCCCGGUGUAGCGGUGAAAUGCGUAGAGAUCGGGAGGAAUACCAGUGGCGAAGGCGGCCUUCUGGCCUGACACUGACACUGAGGUGCGAAAGCGUGGGUAGCAAACAGGAUUAGAAACCCCCGUAGUCC
RNAcentral lists this ribosomal RNA (292 nucleotides) under uncultured prokaryote. RNAcentral's name for it is "partial 16S ribosomal RNA". It matches the Rfam family "Bacterial small subunit ribosomal RNA", at positions 505 to 796 of the family's 1533-position model. The record is from RNAcentral.